GUUUGCACCAAAUCUGGCACCAAUAUUGUGAUCCCUUUGGAGUGGGAACCCAUUCAAUUGUCUUGGGGUGGGGUGAGGGCUGUGAUGAACCAGUCUAGGUCACAAACAAAGAAGGUCAAAGCUUCCAUGCUAAUUAUUAGUGGGAGAGCCCCGUGAGUAGCCACUGCACUUUUAGCCUGGGUAAGAUAGGUAGGCAAAAUAUCAAAAAAAUGGAAUGGUGGCAUAUAAAAAUGCUAACAUAAAUACAAAAAGAGUAGCCAUGAUGGUGAGGGAAUUUGAAGCCAAGUAGUAUAAAGAAUUGUGAGUCACUUCCCCUAUGCCAUUUGAUUAGUGAAUGGUUGAAGGAACCAGACAUAUAUAACCUGGAGAAGAGAAGACUUAGGAAGGAUAGGAGAGCUGUCUUCAAAUAUCUAAAGAACUAUUAUACAGAAUAGAGAUUUAAAAUAUUUUUAUAUUUUUAUACUCCUGAGUAAAGAGGUAGAUUCAAUGGAUGGAUGAUAUAGAGACAAGUUUUGGCCUAACAUAAGGAAAAACUUCCAAAGACAGCUGUACAAAAGUAGAAUGGGUUAACUUGGGAGGUCAUUAGUUUCCCAUCACUUGAGGUUUUCCUGCUGAAGCUGAGUAUAAGGAUGAUGAAGAAAGAAUUCAUGUUUCAGGUUGUUCAAAUGUUUUCUUCUGUCCUCCCUGGUGGAGAGAGUGUCUUCAAACAGAGGCUGUAUUACCAUUUGUCGAGUAUAUGAUGGCUCCAGGAGGAGAGAAAAGGGACACAUUGGGAAAUGUAGGUGAUGGAAAAAAUGAAAAAAACAUCAAUGAAAAUCUUUUUUUUUUUUAAAUAAAGCUUUUUACAACCUGA
Molecule: long non-coding RNA, 853 nt
Organism: Monodelphis domestica (gray short-tailed opossum)
Lineage: Eukaryota; Metazoa; Chordata; Mammalia; Didelphimorphia; Didelphidae
Source: RefSeq, a predicted model, not a curated record